UUUUGACCUCGGAUCAGGUAGGGAUACCCGCUGAACUUAAGCAUAUCAUAAGCCGGAGGA
This 60-nucleotide ribosomal RNA is filed under the name Alternaria sp. RNAcentral's name for it is "partial 28S ribosomal RNA". The record is from RNAcentral. Lineage: Eukaryota; Fungi; Ascomycota; Dothideomycetes; Pleosporales; Pleosporaceae.